Molecule: ribosomal RNA, 450 nt
Filed under: uncultured bacterium
Lineage: Bacteria
Description: partial 16S ribosomal RNA
Rfam family: Bacterial small subunit ribosomal RNA
Source: RNAcentral
CCUACGGGGGGCUGCAGUAAGGAAUAUUGGUCAAUGGACGCAAGUCUGAACCAGCCAUGCCGCGUGGAGGAUGAAGGUCCUCUGGAUUGUAAACUUCUUUUAUUUGGGAAGAAACUCCCGAUUUCCAUCGGGAUUGACGGUACCAGAUGAAUAAGCACCGGCUAACUCCGUGCCAGCAGCCGCGGUAAUACGGAGGGUGCAGGCGUCACUGGGAUUAACGGGGGCUAAGGGGGGCAUAGGUGGCAGGGUAGAAAUCUCCGGGCUUAACCCGGAAACUGCCAUUGAUACUGUAUGUCUUGAAUACUCUGGAGGUGAGCGGAAUAUGUCAUGUAGCGGUGAAAUGCUUAGAUAUGACAUAGAACACCCAUUGCGAAGGCAGCUCACUACGGAAAUAUUGACGCUGAGGCACGAAAGCGUGGGGAGCAAACAGGAUUAGAUACCCUGGUAGUC